This 465-nucleotide ribosomal RNA is filed under the name uncultured Klebsiella sp. RNAcentral describes it as "bacterial SSU rRNA". It matches the Rfam family "Bacterial small subunit ribosomal RNA", at positions 338 to 795 of the family's 1533-position model. The record is from RNAcentral. Lineage: Bacteria; Pseudomonadati; Pseudomonadota; Gammaproteobacteria; Enterobacterales; Enterobacteriaceae.
CCUACGGGAGGCAGCAGUGGGGAAUAUUGCACAAUGGGCGCAAGCCUGAUGCAGCCAUGCCGCGUGUGUGAAGAAGGCCUUCGGGUUGUAAAGCACUUUCAGCGGGGAGGAAGGCGGUGAGGUUAAUAACCUCAUCGAUUGACGUUACCCGCAGAAGAAGCACCGGCUAACUCCGUGCCAGCAGCCGCGGUAAUACGGAGGGUGCAAACGUUAGUCGGAAUUACUGGGCGUAAAGCGCACGCAGGCGGUCUGUCAAGUCGGAUGUGAAAUCCCCGGGCUCAACCUGGGAACUGCAUUCGAGACUGGCAGGCUAGAGUCUUGUAGAGGGGGGUAGAAUUCCAGGUGUAGCGGUGAAAUGCGUAGAGAUCUGGAGGAAUACCGGUGGCGAAGGCGGCCCCCUGGACAAAGACUGACGCUCAGGUGCGAAAGCGUGGGGAGCAAACAGGAUUAGAUACCCCAGUAGUC